AACGAACGCUGGCGGCAUGCCUAACACAUGCAAGUCGAACGAGACCUUCGGGUCUAGUGGCGCACGGGUGCGUAACGCGUGGGAACCUGCCCUUAGGUUCGGAAUAACUCCCCGAAAGGGGUGCUAAUACCGGAUAAUGUCUUCGGACCAAAGAUUUAUCGCCUUUGGAUGGGCCCGCGUUGGAUUAGCUAGUUGGUAGGGUAAAAGCCUACCAAGGCGACGAUCCAUAGCUGGUCUGAGAGGAUGAUCAGCCACACUGGGACUGAGACACGGCCCAGACUCCUACGGGAGGCAGCAGUGGGGAAUAUUGGACAAUGGGCGAAAGCCUGAUCCAGCAAUGCCGCGUGAGUGAUGAAGGCCUUAGGGUUGUAAAGCUCUUUUACCCGGGAUGGUAAUGACAGUACCGGGAGAAUAAGCUCCGGCUAACUACGUG
Molecule: ribosomal RNA, 433 nt
Filed under: uncultured bacterium
Lineage: Bacteria
Description: partial 16S ribosomal RNA
Rfam family: Bacterial small subunit ribosomal RNA
Source: RNAcentral